AGGAUGAGCAUGUUUGUGUUAGGGAUUGCUAAUCCUUAUAGCUUUGGUUAGAUUCCAGAGUUAUCCUG
RNAcentral lists this transfer RNA (68 nucleotides) under Nematistius pectoralis (roosterfish). RNAcentral's name for it is "tRNA-Ser". Lineage: Eukaryota; Metazoa; Chordata; Actinopteri; Carangiformes; Nematistiidae. The record is from RNAcentral.